This is a non-coding RNA of Pleuronectes platessa (European plaice), 612 nucleotides long. The record is from the annotation of a RefSeq genome assembly. Lineage: Eukaryota; Metazoa; Chordata; Actinopteri; Pleuronectiformes; Pleuronectidae.
CCUGAUGACAAACCAAACCACCAACCAGACGAUCAACAAACGACCAUGAUGACUUUAACUAAAUGUCUCACAUUUCUGCUGCUCUCAGCCAUUUCUGGUGUUUGCAGUCAGACUCUGACUGAAUCUGAACCGGUGGUGAAGCGGCCCGGAGAAUCCCACAAACUGACGUGUACAUAUGCAGGGAUAUCUGAUGACUCUGCUGAUAUCAGCUGGAUCAGACAAGCUGAAAGAAAAGGCCUGGAGUGGGUUGCCUUCAUUUCUGCUCCAUCAGGCAGCUCUAAAUAUUAUUCAGCAUCUGUCAAGAAUCGCUUCACAAUUUCCAGAAACAACGACAUGGACCAGGUGUAUCUGCACAUGAGCAGCCUGAUGACUGAAGACUCUGCUGUUUAUUAUUGUGCUCGAGAGCCACAGUAACACAGGAAGCCACAGAGCUGUACACAAAAUAUUGCAUCUGUCCCUGUGUCACUCAUUGAGUGUUUAAAUAUCCUCCUCCUCCAACACUGAAAAAUGUUGAAGCCCCCCCCCCCAUGUCCUAAGCUACACUUAAAAGUAUUAAUAUAUAAAAAAUACCUCCAAUUAAAGUUUUAAACACAUUAAAAAAUACUGAAUUUA